Long non-coding RNA from Sphaerodactylus townsendi, 251 nucleotides. RefSeq lists it as uncharacterized. Lineage: Eukaryota; Metazoa; Chordata; Lepidosauria; Squamata; Sphaerodactylidae. The transcript has 3 exons. The record is from RefSeq and is a predicted model, not a curated record.
ACAACUUCCACUCCCCCCUGAGGGGGCACAUCUGGAGCACAGCUUUGCGCAGGGGGGGGGGGAUGGGUCGGAGGGCGGGAGAAAUUCAAAAUUGGUCUCUCCCUCCAGUCGCGCCGGAGGCAAAGAAAUUUGGCUUCUGACAUCAUUCCGUGCUGCUUCCAGACGGGCUCCCCAGCGCCAGCCGCAGUACCCUGCCGUCGCCUCCGCUCCAGCCCCACUGACUCCGUCUCCACCUGAAGUAAUUCCCCGCC